UACAGAGGUCUCAAGCGUUGUUCGGAUUCAUUGGGCGUAAAGGGUGCGUAGGUGGCGCUGUAAGUCAGGUGUGAAAUUUCGGAGCUUAACUCCGAAACUGCAUUUGAUACUGCGGUGCUUGAGGACUGGAGAGGAGACUGGAAUUCAUGGUGUAGCAGUGAAAUGCGUAGAGAUCAUGAGGAAGACCAGUGGCGAAGGCGGGUCUCUGGACAGUUCCUGACACUGAGACACGAAGGCCAGGGGAGCAAACGGG
Molecule: ribosomal RNA, 253 nt
Filed under: uncultured bacterium
Lineage: Bacteria
Description: partial 16S ribosomal RNA
Rfam family: Bacterial small subunit ribosomal RNA
Source: RNAcentral